GCGGAAUAGAGCAGCGGUAGCUCGUUGGACUUCGUAUCCAAAGAUCAGUGGUUCAAAUCCACUUUCUGCCCCA
RNAcentral lists this transfer RNA (73 nucleotides) under Tolypothrix sp. PCC 7910. Its description in RNAcentral is "tRNA-Arg". It matches the Rfam family "tRNA". From Rfam's summary of the family: Transfer RNA (tRNA) molecules are approximately 80 nucleotides in length. Their secondary structure includes four short double-helical elements and three loops (D, anti-codon, and T loops). The record is from RNAcentral. Lineage: Bacteria; Bacillati; Cyanobacteriota; Cyanophyceae; Nostocales; Tolypothrichaceae.